CCUACGGGUGGCAGCAGUGAGGAAUAUUGGUCAAUGGGCGUAAGCCUGAACCAGCCAAGUCGCGUGAGGGAUGAAGGUUCUAUGGAUUGUAAACCUCUUUUAUAAGGGAAUAAAGUGCGGGACGUGUCCCGUUUUGUAUGUACCUUAUGAAUAAGGAUCGGCUAACUCCGUGCCAGCAGCCGCGGUAAUACGGAGGAUCCGAGCGUUAUCCGGAUUUAUUGGGUUUAAAGGGUGCGUAGGCGGCAUUUUAAGUCAGCGGUGAAAGUCUGUGGCUCAACCAUAGAAUUGCCGUUGAAACUGGGAGUCUUGAGUGUGUUUGAGGCAGGCGGAAUGCGUGGUGUAGCGGUGAAAUGCUUAGAUAUCACGCAGAACCCCGAUUGCGAAGGCAGCCUGCCAAGCCAUGACUGACGCUGAUGCACGAAAGCGUGGGGAUCAAACAGGAUUAGAUACCCGGGUAGUC
This 460-nucleotide ribosomal RNA is filed under the name uncultured bacterium. RNAcentral describes it as "partial 16S ribosomal RNA". It matches the Rfam family "Bacterial small subunit ribosomal RNA", at positions 338 to 795 of the family's 1533-position model. The record is from RNAcentral.